Molecule: long non-coding RNA, 1487 nt
Organism: Daucus carota subsp. sativus
Lineage: Eukaryota; Viridiplantae; Streptophyta; Magnoliopsida; Apiales; Apiaceae
Exons: 3
Source: RefSeq, a predicted model, not a curated record
AGCGCUGAUCGUGGGGUUAUAGAGAGGGCUGAAGCGAAGAUUGGGUGAUGGAUGAAGGUUAUGAUGAUUUGAGGUCGGAAGUUUAUGAGGGAAGGGAGAUGGAUCAAGUCUUGAAUUCAGGUGUAGGUGUUGUUUGUGUAUAUGAGCUGGAGUUAAGGACAAAAGGGGUCGGGGAAGCCAAAUUACAGGUCUGGUAGUUGUAGUAAAGGUGGGGGAUAGUCGUGUGAGGUUGCAAUAUCAACGAUAGAAGUCUCUCGAGACGCGUGCAUCAACGAUUGUCAGAAGCAAGCAAAUAGCGUGGCAAGGCAAGUCAGAAAUAUUUUGAUAAGGCGAUAUUGUGCCGUAAGAUAGUCCAAUAGAUUAUAGUCAUUUCAGAAUUAGCGAUUGAGGCCAAUCUAGGAAUCUCGAGUAGGUGACUGUGUGUCACCUGUUUCUGUCAAAGCUAGGGAUUGAGAUGUCACCUGUAUAAGCUGCGCGUAAGAUUGAUGCUAGACGAGAUUGCCAGGGAGAUGUUUACAAGAGUAGUUCUGGUUAGAAUUGAUUUAUUUCAGUCCAGUUGUAAAUAGAUUUAUUUAUUUGGUUAUCAGUUAUUCUUCUUAUCGAAGUUUAGAUGAUAAUGUAGUUUAAGUUUGUAAUAAGAUUUAGGAUUUUGGUUUCUAAUUUCAAUGCUGUAACCUAUUAGCGAUCCUGUUUUUAGGGGGUCAAAGUGAUUUGAUUUAAAUCUCUUUUAAAAUUUUCCAGAUUUUCAAAUAUCUGUUUUACCUUCUUCCGCAAAUACAGGUUUUCAAUUGUUUUUGUUUUAGUGGCACCAAAUCCAGACCCCCGGAUUUGAGGGCUGUCACAGUUGGUAUCAGAGCUAUAGGUUAUAAGUUAUUGAAAUCAGAAUGUAGAGUGUGAUAGGAUUUUGUUUAGUGGAACCUCAUAUAGAGGUAAGUCAAGACUAUUGGUUAUAGUCUUUGUUGAUGGAACUGAGACUGAGUUUGGAGUAAUGAUUCUGAGUAAUCAUUUUGGGUAUAUCCUAGUUUCCAUAUCUAGAGCUAGUGAGUUUGGAUCUCAAGAGAAACAUUAGUACACCUUUAGUUGCCAAUCUCUCAGAGCUUGAUGUUGACUUUCUGACUAACCAUUGCCAGCUAGACUUGUGGAGAAACCUAUCUAGUCUAGAAUGUUCCUUGUCAUCUCUACCACUUUUGAGUGUUUGUUCGAGGGUCAUCUAUUGUUUCUAUAGAGACAUAUAAAAUAAGUAUGAGAAUUGUUGGGUCAGAGUAAGAAAGGUAUAUAGUUCUCGGUUUGAGAGCUUAUAUAGAUUUCGUGUUAAAAUACUAGAUAUAGUGCUAUGAGUAGGCUAGAACGUCAACGCUCUACAAUGUUGAUUGUAUAAAGUUGAAGAUGGCUUCUUAUCGUGUCAAGCUGGAUAGGACUUUUUACUAAAGUAGAUAGCGGUGGUGGAAUCUUUGGAGUCGUGUACGAAUCGGCCAGAAUAUUAGAAC